CGCUUUCACUCCUACGGGAGGCAGCAGUGGGGAAUAUUGCACAAUGGGCGCAAGCCUGAUGCAGCCAUGCCGCGUGUGUGAAGAAGGCCUUCGGGUUGUAAAGCACUUUCAGCAGUGAGGAAGGCGGAGUCGUUAAUAGCGGCCUCGUUUGACGUUAGCUGCAGAAGAAGCACCGGCUAACUCCGUGCCAGCAGCCGCGGUAAUACGGAGGGUGCGAGCGUUAAUCGGAAUUACUGGGCGUAAAGCGCAUGCAGGUGGUUUGUUAAGUCAGAUGUGAAAGCCCGGGGCUCAACCUCGGAAUAGCAUUUGAAACUGGCAGACUAGAGUACUGUAGAGGGGGUAGAAUUUCAGGUGUAGCGGUGAAAAUGCGUAGAGAUCUGAAGGAAUACCGGUGGCGAAGGCGGCCCCCUGGACAGAUACUGACACUCAGAUGCGAAAGCGUGGGGAGCAAACAGGAUUAGAUACCCUGGUAG
Molecule: ribosomal RNA, 473 nt
Filed under: uncultured bacterium
Lineage: Bacteria
Description: bacterial SSU rRNA
Rfam family: Bacterial small subunit ribosomal RNA
Source: RNAcentral